UUGAACUGACACAGGUGCCCCUCGCUGAGAAGGCGAAGGCGUGUCGGGAGUAAAUGUGUUAAGGGAACUCGGCAAAUUAGCCCUGUAACUUUGGGAUAAGGGGUGCCUGCCCAGCGAUUGGGCAGGUCGCAGUGACAAGAUCGCUCCGACUGUCUAAUAACAACAUAGCAGACUGCAACUCCGAAAGGACUCGUAUAGUCUGUGAUUCCUGCCCAGUGCGAGUAUCUGAACACCGGGUUCAACCGGACGAAGGACUCGUAAACGGCGGGGGUAACAAUGACCCUCUUAAGGUAGCGUAGUACCUUGUCGCUUAAUUGGCGACUUGCAUGAAUGGAAUAACGAGAGCGAUACUGUCCCUAACACAUACCCGUUGAACCUUUUGUACUAGUGCAGAGACUAGUGACUCCUUAUGGGAAGUGAAGACCCCGUGGAGCUUUACUGCAGCCUGUCGUUGGGUUACGGUAUUACCUGCGCAGGGUAGAUGGGAGACGUCGAUCCAACCCUUGUGGGGGUUGGUUAGUCACCGAUGAGACACCAUCCUGGUUUUAUUGUAAUUCUAACUGAUUUAUCAGGACAUCGAUAGGUAGGCAGUUUGGGUGGGGCGCCACACCCUCGAAAAAAUAUCAAGGGUGCCCUAAGGUCAACUCAAGCGGGUCAGAAACCCGCUGAAGAGUGUCAAGAGCAAAAGUUGGCCUGACGCGAUUUCGCAUAGCAAGAAAUCGCGAGAGGGAACUCGGGUCUAACGAACCAACACGCCCUGUUGAUGAGGGCUAUUGACUACAGAAAAGCUACCCCGGGGAUAACAGAGUCGUCGCCGGCAAGAGCACAUAUCGACCCGGCGGCUUGCUACCUCGAUGUCGGUUCUUUCCAUCCUGGCUGUGCAGCAGCGGCCAAGGGUGAGGUUGUUCGCCUAUUAAAGGGGAUCGUGAGCUGGGUUUAGACCGUCGUGAGACAGGUCGGUUACUAUCUAUAAGGAGUGUUGGAAGUCUGAAGGCAAGAAUGAAAUAGUACGAGAGGAACUUUCAUUCGGCGCCACUGGUCUACCGGUUGUCUGACAAGGCAACGCCGGGCAGCUACGCGCCAAGAGAUAAAAGCUGAAAGCAUCUAAGCUUGAAACUCAGCCUGAACAAGAGACUUCAUCAAAGACACGGGUAAAAGACCCGGUUGAUAGGUUCGGGAUGUACGCACGAAGGCAACGACGCGUUCAGUCCGCGAAUACUAAUCGUCCC
RNAcentral lists this ribosomal RNA (1229 nucleotides) under metagenome. RNAcentral describes it as "bacterial LSU rRNA". It matches the Rfam family "Archaeal large subunit ribosomal RNA", at positions 1743 to 2973 of the family's 2987-position model. The record is from RNAcentral.